AGAAUAAAGGAUUCAGAACAAAGAGCAGAACACGAGAAAUGAAAGUGCUGCCCAAAAGGUAAAAUCCAGCCUGAUGAUCUGUUUCAGUUAGGCUGCCAAGGUACAAUUUGGCUCUCAGAGGUUUCAGAUGGCAUUUUUGACAAUGUGGUGCCAGCAGUUUGACUACUGAACACAUGCUGAAUUCUGCACACCAUGUCUCCAGCUGGAAUCAAGGGUCGUUGGCAGGUGACACCACAGAUGAAAUCUGGUUCUCGAUACCUAGUCUUGCAACUGACGAGAGGUUUCAUGUCAACACUAAU
Passer domesticus (house sparrow) is the source of this 299-nucleotide long non-coding RNA. RefSeq lists it as uncharacterized. The transcript is spliced from 3 exons. NCBI's taxonomy places the organism in Eukaryota, Metazoa, Chordata, Aves, Passeriformes, Passeridae. The record is from RefSeq and is a predicted model, not a curated record.